CGCUGGCGGCGUGCCUAAUACAUGCAAGUCGAGCGAACAGACGAGGAGCUUGCUCCUCUGACGUUAGCGGCGGACGGGUGAGUAACACGUGGAUAACCUACCUAUAAGACUGGGAUAACUUCGGGAAACCGGAGCUAAUACCGGAUAAUAUAUUGAACCGCAUGGUUCAAUAGUGAAAGACGGUUUUGCUGUCACUUAUAGAUGGAUCCGCGCCGCAUUAGCUAGUUGGUAAGGUAACGGCUUACCAAGGCAACGAUGCGUAGCCGACCUGAGAGGGUGAUCGGCCACACUGGAACUGAGACACGGUCCAGACUCCUACGGGAGGCAGCAGUAGGGAAUCUUCCGCAAUGGGCGAAAGCUUGACGGAGCAACGCCGCGUGAGUGAUGAAGGUCUUCGGAUCGUAAAACUCUGUUAUUAGGGAAGAACAAAUGUGUAAGUAACUAUGCACGUCUUGACGGUACCUAAUCAGAAAGCCACGGCUAACUACGUG
This 491-nucleotide ribosomal RNA is filed under the name uncultured bacterium. RNAcentral's name for it is "partial 16S ribosomal RNA". It matches the Rfam family "Bacterial small subunit ribosomal RNA", at positions 34 to 507 of the family's 1533-position model. The record is from RNAcentral.